UGCAAGUCGAACGGUAACAUGAGUGCUUGCACUUGAUGACGAGUGGCGGACGGGUGAGUAAUGUAUGGGGAUCUGCCGAAUGGAAGGGGACAACAGUUGGAAACGACUGCUAAUACCGUAUAAUGUCGUGAGACCAAAGCAUGGGACUUUCGGGCCAUGCGCCAUUUGAUGAACCCAUAUGGGAUUAGCUAGUAGGUGGGGUAAAGGCUCACCUAGGCGACGAUCUCUAGCUGGUCUGAGAGGAUGACCAGCCACACUGGAACUGAGACACGGUCCAGACUNNUACGGGAGGCAGCAGUGGGGAAUAUUGCACAAUGGGGGGAACCCUGAUGCAGCCAUGCCGCGUGUAUGAAGAAGGCCUUCGGGUUGUAAAGUACUUUCGGUGAUGAGGAAGGCGGUGUAUCUAAUAGGUGCAUCGAUUGACGUUAAUCACAGAAGAAGCACCGGCUAACUCCGUGCCAGCAGCCGCGGUAAUACGGAGGGUGCGAGCGUUAAUCGGAAUGACUGGGCGUAAAGGGCAUGUAGGCGGAUAAUUAAGUUAGGUGUGAAAGCCCUGGGCUCAACCUAGGAAUUGCAUUUAAAACUGGUUAUCUGGAGUAUUGUAGAGGAAGGUAGAAUUCCACGUGUAGCGGUGAAAUGCGUAGAGAUGUGGAGGAAUACCGGUGGCGAAGGCGGCCUUCUGGACAGAUACUGACGCUGAGAUGCGAAAGCGUGGGGAGCAAACAGGAUUAGAUACCCUGGUAGUCCACGCUGUAAACGAUGUCGAUUUGGAGUUUGUUGCCUAGAGUGAUGGGCUCCGAAGCUAACGCGAUAAAUCGACCGCCUGGGGAGUACGGCCGCAAGGUUAAAACUCAAAUGAAUUGACGGGGGCCCGCACAAGCGGUGGAGCAUGUGGUUUAAUUCGAUGCAACGCGAAGAACCUUACCUGGUCUUGACAUCACAGAAUCUUGUAAAAUACGAGAGUGCCUUCGGAACUGUGAGACA
Molecule: ribosomal RNA, 984 nt
Filed under: Gilliamella sp.
Lineage: Bacteria; Pseudomonadati; Pseudomonadota; Gammaproteobacteria; Orbales; Orbaceae
Description: bacterial SSU rRNA
Rfam family: Bacterial small subunit ribosomal RNA
Source: RNAcentral